RNAcentral lists this ribosomal RNA (460 nucleotides) under uncultured bacterium. Its description in RNAcentral is "partial 16S ribosomal RNA". It matches the Rfam family "Bacterial small subunit ribosomal RNA", at positions 338 to 795 of the family's 1533-position model. The record is from RNAcentral.
CCUACGGGAGGCAGCAGUGAGGAAUAUUGGUCAAUGGGAGGAAUCCUGAACCAGCCAUGCCGCGUGCAGGACGACGGCUCUACGAGUUGUAAACUGCUUUUGUACCGGGGUAAAAUGCUCUACGAGUAGGGUUUUGAAAGUACGGUACGAAUAAGGAUCGGCUAACUCCGUGCCAGCAGCCGCGGUAAUACGGAGGAUCCGAGCGUUAUCCGGAUUUAUUGGGUUUAAAGGGUGCGUAGGUUGUUUUAUAAGUUAGCGGUGAAAUACCGAUGCUCAACAUCGGGGCUGCCGCUAAUACUGUAGGACUAGAGAGCGGAUGCAGCAGGCGGAAUGUGUAGUGUAGCGGUGAAAUGCAUAGAUAUUACACAGAACACCGAUUGCGAAGGCAGCUUGCUAGGCCGGAUCUGACACUGAUGCACGAAAGCGUGGGGAUCGAACAGGAUUAGAUACCCGAGUAGUC